RNAcentral lists this ribosomal RNA (468 nucleotides) under uncultured bacterium. Its description in RNAcentral is "partial 16S ribosomal RNA". It matches the Rfam family "Bacterial small subunit ribosomal RNA", at positions 28 to 507 of the family's 1533-position model. The record is from RNAcentral.
GACGAACGCUGGCGGCGUGCUUAACACAUGCAAGUCGAACGGAAAGGCCCUGCUUUUGUGGGGUUCUCGAGUGGCGAACGGGUGAGUAACACGUGAGUAACCUGCCCUUGACUUUGGGAUAACUUCAGGAAACUGGGGCUCAUACCCGAUAGGAGCUCCUGCUCCAUGUUGUGGUUUGGAAAGUUUCGGCGUUUGGGGAUGGACUCGCGGCUUAUCAGCUUGUUGGUGGGGUAGUGGCUUACCAAGGCUUUGACGGGUAGCCGGCCUGAGAGGGUGACCGGCCACAUUGGGACUGAGAUACGGCCCAGACGCCUACGGGAGGCAGCAGGGGGGAAUAUUGCACAAUGGGCGGAAGCCUGAUGCAGCAACGCCGCGUGCGGGAUGACGGCCUUCGGGUUGUAAACCGCUGUGGCCUGUGACGAAGCGUGAGUGACGGUAAUGGGUAAAGAAGCACCGGCUAACUACGUG